ACAUUUCUCCUCAUUUCAGAUACCUGGAAGGAAACCUCCUGACAUCUGUUCCCAAAGAACUGUCCAGUCUGAAACAGCUAUCUCUUGUCGACCUGAGCAACAACAGCAUCACCACCGUGGCCUCCAUGACCUUCAGCCACAUGACUCAGCUCGCCACUCUGAUCCUGAGUUACAACCAGAUUCGGUGCAUCUCGAUACAC
Non-coding RNA from Salvelinus sp. IW2-2015, 200 nucleotides. The record is from RefSeq and is a predicted model, not a curated record. Lineage: Eukaryota; Metazoa; Chordata; Actinopteri; Salmoniformes; Salmonidae.